AUUGAACGCUGGCGGCAUGCCUAACACAUGCAAGUCGAACGGGAGAAGGGAGCUUGCACCUGGAUUCAGCGGCGGAUGGGUGAGUAAUGCCUAGGAAUCUGCACGGUAGUGGGGGCUAACGUCUGGAAACGGGUGCUAAUACCGCAUACGUCUUGAGGGCGCAAGUGGCGGCUCCUCGGACCUCACGCUAUCAGAUGAGUCUAGGUCGGAUUAGCUAGUUGGUGGGGUAAAGGCCUACUAACGCGAUGAUCCGUAACUGGUCUGCGAGGAUGGUCAGACAGACUGGAUGUGAGGCACGGCCCACACACCUGCGGGGGGCAACGGUGGGGAAUAUUGGACGAUGGGCGAAAGCCUAAUCCUGCCAUGUCGCGGGUGUGAAGAAGGUCUUCGGAUGGUAGAGCGCAUAAAGUUGGGAGGAAGGGCAGUUAGAUAAUACCUUGCUGUAAUGACGGUACCAGCAGAAUAAGCACCGGCUAACUACGUG
RNAcentral lists this ribosomal RNA (484 nucleotides) under uncultured bacterium. RNAcentral describes it as "partial 16S ribosomal RNA". It matches the Rfam family "Bacterial small subunit ribosomal RNA", at positions 30 to 507 of the family's 1533-position model. The record is from RNAcentral.